Molecule: small nuclear RNA, 23 nt
Filed under: Arabidopsis thaliana (thale cress)
Lineage: Eukaryota; Viridiplantae; Streptophyta; Magnoliopsida; Brassicales; Brassicaceae
Description: snRNA_10956
Source: RNAcentral
UCUAAUAUGAUAUUGUCCGCUUU